GGAUGUGAGGGCGAUCUGGCUGUGACAUCUGUCACCCCAUUGAUCGCCAGGGUUGAUUCGGCUGAUCUGGCUGUCUAGGCGGGUGUCCCCUUCCUCCUCUCCGCUCCAUAUGCGUCCCUCCCGAAGCUGCGCACUCGGUCCAAGAGCACGACCUUCCCCGAUAGAGGAGGACUGUUCUUGGGUCAAGGGUAUAGGAGUAGCUGCGCUCCCCUGCUAGAACCUCCAAACAAGCUCUCAAGAAAAAUGCUAUCAACCUGCUCAGCUAGUUCCUAAUCACACAUCUGAAAAAAAAAAAAAAACUACAAAAUAUAUUGUGUGAUUAUGGUGAGUUUUC
Non-coding RNA from Ailuropoda melanoleuca (giant panda), 334 nucleotides. NCBI's taxonomy places the organism in Eukaryota, Metazoa, Chordata, Mammalia, Carnivora, Ursidae. The record is from Rfam.